RNAcentral lists this ribosomal RNA (395 nucleotides) under uncultured bacterium. RNAcentral describes it as "bacterial SSU rRNA". It matches the Rfam family "Bacterial small subunit ribosomal RNA", at positions 505 to 898 of the family's 1533-position model. The record is from RNAcentral.
GUGUCAGCAGCCGCGGUAAUACGGAGGGUGCGAGCGUUGUCCGGAAUCACUGGGCGUAAAGGGCGCGUAGGCGGCCGUGUAAGUCACUUGUGAAAUCCCGGGGCUCAACUCCGGGGCUGCAGGUGAGACUGCGUGGCUAGAGCACGGUAGAGGCGAGUGGAAUUCCCGGUGUAGCGGUGGAAUGCGUAGAUAUCGGGAAGAACACCGGUGGCGAAGGCGGCUCGCUGGGCCGUUGCUGACGCUGAGGCGCGAAAGCGUGGGGAGCAAACAGGAUUAGAUACCCUGGUAGUCCACGCCGUAAACGAUGGGUACUAGGCGUCGGGGGGAGCGACCCCCUCGGUGCCGUCGCUAACGCAGUAAGUACCCCGCCUGGGGAGUACGGUCGCAAGACUGAA